This 364-nucleotide ribosomal RNA is filed under the name Pseudomonas sp. iEDC13. Its description in RNAcentral is "bacterial SSU rRNA". It matches the Rfam family "Bacterial small subunit ribosomal RNA", at positions 8 to 376 of the family's 1533-position model. Lineage: Bacteria; Pseudomonadati; Pseudomonadota; Gammaproteobacteria; Pseudomonadales; Pseudomonadaceae. The record is from RNAcentral.
AGAGUUUGAUCCUGGCUCAGAUUGAACGCUGGCGGCAGGCCUAACACAUGCAUGUCGAGCGGUAGAGAGAAGCUUGCUUCUCUUGAGACGGCGGACGGGUGAGUAAUGCCUAGGAAUCUCCUGGUAGUGGGGGAUAACGUUCGGAAACGAACGCUAAUACCGCAUACGUCCUACGGGAGAAAGCAGGGGACCUUCGGGCCUUGCGCUAUCAGAUGAGCCUAGGUCGGAUUAGCUAGUUGGUGAGGUAAUGGCUCACCAAGGCUACGAUCCGUAACUGGUCUGAGAGGAUGAUCAGUCACACUGGAACUGAGACACGGUCCAGACUCCUACGGGAGGCAGCAGUGGGGAAUAUUGGACAAUGGGC